Molecule: ribosomal RNA, 140 nt
Filed under: uncultured bacterium
Lineage: Bacteria
Description: partial 16S ribosomal RNA
Rfam family: Bacterial small subunit ribosomal RNA
Source: RNAcentral
CAGCAGCCGCGGUAAUACGUAGGGUGCAAGCGUUAAUCGGAAUUACUGGGCGUAAAGCGUGCGCAGGCGGUUUUGUAAGUCUGAUGUGAAAGCCCCGGGCUCAACCUGGGAAUUGCAUUGGAGACUGCAAGGCUUGAAUC